Molecule: long non-coding RNA, 1461 nt
Filed under: Homo sapiens (human)
Lineage: Eukaryota; Metazoa; Chordata; Mammalia; Primates; Hominidae
Description: HSALNT0362539
Source: RNAcentral
AUGAGGGAGGGAGCACUGUGGGUACCACAUCAUUUGUUUCCCUUGACUCUGGCGUCACAAACACAGCUUCUUGGAAUCUCAUGCCUGUUACUGGCUGUGUGAUCUGGAGCAACUGGCUUCACCUCUCUGAGCCUUUAUUUCCCACAUCUGCAAAGUGGUGCACAGUAAUACCCACGUUCCUGGCUCUGUGUAAGGAGCCAUGAGAGUGUAUUUAAAGGGCCCAGCACCCAGCUGCUCUCAGUAGAUGCUCAAGAGACAGUAACAACCCUAUCGUUAUAUGAGGUUCAAUGCAACUCAUCUGAUUCCCCUUCCAGUGGCUGGAGAACAUCCCACCUUCUGAGCCUUGGGGAGAAGCAGAGUGUGCCCUUUCCCUGCCCACUGGAGAAGCUGAAACAACAAAAACUCCCUUCCCUGGCCUCCCUGCAGGAGACUCCAGGAAGACUCCUGAAUGCCACACACUCCUAAACCUGAGAGACCUUCAUGCAGAUUGGGGAGCAGCUUUAGGACUGCUGGGUGGAGCCACAAUGAGACAGAUAAGCUCCAGGAAAAUAAGAAGUGCCGAAACAAUGGAGCCACCCAACAAAAAGGGCUGCCACUGCAAGUGGUGAGCUUCCUGUUACUGGAGGUGAGAAAGUGGAGUUCGAAGAUGUCAUCAGCCCAGGUCACACAGAUGGUGGAGACCAGUGUGGAGCCCGGGAGUGGGCUGAGCAGAGCAUCUGGACUUUGAGCUUCCAUCAGACCCUGAGAUAGUCACCUGUCCUGGCUGCCUGGUGACCCUGGUGUGCUAACGUGGCACUUAUCUUGCUCUAUGGAGGCCCCUGGGCCCCCUAAACACCAGGUGGGUGCCUUCAGCCAGCCCCAUACUGACCUGUGAAGCCCAGGUAUUGCUGGCCAACCCACCCCACUCACAGACAGAAGCAGUUCUCCAUCUUUUGGCUUUAGCAGAUCUGCUUCAUUUCUCCUCCCCACAAAGCCUGGACUUUGUUCUGGGGGUAUCCCUGUUUGCAGUGAAGCUUUUUCACUCAGUGCUCAAUCUGAGCCCAACUCCACCCCACAUCUCUGAUUCAUAGACUUUUGUGACUGCCUUGACCAGUAGAGUAUGGCAGAAGAUGCUCUGUAACUUCCCAGGCUAGAUCUAGAAAAUGCCACGCAUUUCUGCCUUGCUCUCCUGCGACAUCCACUCUUAGAACCCAGUUGCUGUGCUAAAAAGAACUCACAGACCACGUGGAGUGGAGCAGAUGGGUCAGUGUCCCAGGUGGCAGCCCGUGUCGGCCUCAGACCUGCACGUGAGGAUGCCCACCAGAGGGUUCCUGCCACCACCGUCAAGUCACCCCAGCCUUAAUCUUCCAGCCGGCGCCUCAGGCAUUAUGGGCAGAGGUAAACUGUCUCCAUGAUGCCCUUUCCAAAUUUCUGACCCACAGAAUCCAUGGCUAUAAUAAAAUGGCUGUCUUAUGUGCUCAA